AUGUCCAGUUUUUCUUUCAGCUCAAUUCCUAGAUUUCAUUCAGUUCAAUUCUUAUGUAGGUACUUGGUGGUGGCAUUGCUUCACUUCCCUUGUUAUGCUCUCUUCGCCCAAGUUCCGAGAAUCAAGAAAACAAAUAAUAGUGCUUGCAUGAAAAUGUACGAGCAAAAAAAACCACAAAGGCCUUUGCGUAGAAACAUCACCUCCACACCCCCUCCAUUCAUGCACAAUACAUGCUUCUCCUGCCGCCGUGCCGCCUGGAUCCAACGAGGCUGUGUCACACUGGCCCCGGAUCCGCCCGCUUCCAAUGAGGUUGCGUCACCCGCUGGCGCACCUCUGCCUCGCCGUGGGCAGUGGAUGCUCCUCCGCAGCUCAACCUCCUGGUAG
Molecule: ribosomal RNA, 384 nt
Filed under: Triticum aestivum (bread wheat)
Lineage: Eukaryota; Viridiplantae; Streptophyta; Magnoliopsida; Poales; Poaceae
Description: partial small subunit ribosomal RNA
Source: RNAcentral